UGGGUUGUAAACUGCUUUUGUCAGGGAAUAAACCUGYCUACGUGUAGACAGYUGAAGGUACCKGAAGAAUAAGCAUCGGCUAACUCCGUGCCAGCAGCCGCGGUAAUACGGAGGAUGCAAGCGUUAUCCGGAUUCAUUGGGUUUAAAGGGUGCGCAGGCGGAUUGUUAAGUCAGGGGUGAAAUCCUACAGCUCAACUGUAGAACUGCCCUUGAUACUGUCAGUCUAGAGUAUAGUUGAAGUGGGCGGAAUGUGUCAUGUAGCGGUGAAAUGCUUAGAUAUGACACAGAACACCGAUCGCGAAGGCAGCUCSCUAAGCUAUAACUGACGCUCAUGCACGAAAGCGUGGGGAUCAAACAGGAUUAGAUACCCUGGUAGUCCACGCUGUAAACGAUGAUUACUCGAUGUUGGCGAUACACAGUCAGCGUCUGAGCGAAAGCAAUAAGUAAUCC
This 450-nucleotide ribosomal RNA is filed under the name uncultured Sphingobacteriia bacterium. RNAcentral describes it as "bacterial SSU rRNA". It matches the Rfam family "Bacterial small subunit ribosomal RNA", at positions 419 to 870 of the family's 1533-position model. Lineage: Bacteria; Pseudomonadati; Bacteroidota; Sphingobacteriia. The record is from RNAcentral.